RNAcentral lists this ribosomal RNA (252 nucleotides) under uncultured Actinomycetales bacterium. RNAcentral's name for it is "partial 16S ribosomal RNA". It matches the Rfam family "Bacterial small subunit ribosomal RNA", at positions 79 to 334 of the family's 1533-position model. Lineage: Bacteria; Bacillati; Actinomycetota; Actinomycetes; Actinomycetales. The record is from RNAcentral.
CUUGCAGGGUACUCGAGUGGCGAACGGGUGAGUAACACGUGGGUGAUCUGCCCUGCACUUCGGGAUAAGCUUGGGAAACUGGGUCUAAUACCGGAUAGGAACCAUCUUUAGUGUGGUGGUUGGAAAGUUUUUUCGGUGUAGGAUGAGCUCGCGGCCUAUCAGCUUGUUGGUGGGGUAAUGGCCUACCAAGGCGGCGACGGGUAGCCGGCCUGAGAGGGUGGACGGUCACACUGGGACUGAGACACGGCCCAG